Molecule: ribosomal RNA, 460 nt
Filed under: uncultured bacterium
Lineage: Bacteria
Description: partial 16S ribosomal RNA
Rfam family: Bacterial small subunit ribosomal RNA
Source: RNAcentral
CCUACGGGUGGCAGCAGUGGGGAAUAUUGGUCAAUGGGCGAGAGCCUGAACCAGCCACGCCGCGUGAAGGAUGACGGCCCUACGGUUUUUAAACUCCUUUCGUCAGGGAGCAAUUGGGCCCACGCGUGGGCUUGGCGAGAGUACCUGCAGAAUAAGCAUCGGCUAACUCCGUGCCAGCAGCCGCGGUAAUACGGAGGUUGCUAGCGUUAUCCGGAUUUAUUGGGUGAAAAGGGUGCGUAGGCGGAAUAUCAAGUCAGCGGUAAAAAUUCGGGGCUCAACCCCGGCGUGCCGUGGAAACUGAUGUUCUUGAGUGGGCGAGAGGUAUGCGGAAUGCGUGGUGUAGCGGUGAAAUGCAUAGAUAUCACGAAGAACACCGAUUGCGAAGGCAGCAUACCGGAGCCCAACUGACGCUGAGGCACGAAAGCGUGGGUAUCGAACAGGAUUAGAUACCCCGGUAGUC